CCUACGGGAGGCAGCCGUGGGGAAUAUUGGGCACUGGGCGCAAGCCUGACCCAGCAACGCCGCGUGAAGGAAGAAGGCUUUCGGGUUGUAAACUUCUUUUCUUGGGGACGAAGAAAGUGACGGUACCAAAGGAAUAAGCCACGGCUAACUACGUGCCAGCAGCCGCGGUAAUACGUAGGUGGAAAGCGUUAUACGGAUUUUUUGGGUGUAAAGGGCGUGUAGGCGGGAUUGCAAGUCAGAUGUGAAAACCACGGGCUCAACCUGUGGCCUGCAUUUGAAACUGUAGUUCUUGAGUGCUGGAGAGGCGAGCGGAAUUCCGUGUGUAGCGGUGAAAUGCGUAGAGAUACGGAGGAACACCAGUGGCGAAGGCGGAUUGCUGGACAGUAACUGACGCUGAGGCGCGAAAGCGUGGGGAGCAAACAGGAUUAGAUACCCGGGUAGUC
RNAcentral lists this ribosomal RNA (443 nucleotides) under uncultured bacterium. RNAcentral's name for it is "partial 16S ribosomal RNA". It matches the Rfam family "Bacterial small subunit ribosomal RNA", at positions 338 to 795 of the family's 1533-position model. The record is from RNAcentral.